UACGGGGGGAGCAAGCGUUGUUCGGAUUUACUGGGCGUAAAGGGCGCGUAGGCGGCGUGACAAGUCACUUGUGAAAUCUCCGGGCUUAACUCGGAACGGUCAAGUGAUACUGUCGUGCUAGAGUACAGAAGGGGCAACUGGAAUUCUCGGUGUAGCGGUGAAAUGCGUAGAAAUCGAGAGGAACACCUGCGGCGAAGGCGGGUUGCUGGGCUGAUACUGACGCUGAGGCGCGAAAGCCAGGGGAGCGAACGGG
Molecule: ribosomal RNA, 253 nt
Filed under: uncultured bacterium
Lineage: Bacteria
Description: partial 16S ribosomal RNA
Rfam family: Bacterial small subunit ribosomal RNA
Source: RNAcentral